RNAcentral lists this ribosomal RNA (468 nucleotides) under uncultured bacterium. Its description in RNAcentral is "partial 16S ribosomal RNA". It matches the Rfam family "Bacterial small subunit ribosomal RNA", at positions 28 to 507 of the family's 1533-position model. The record is from RNAcentral.
GACGAACGCUGGCGGCGUGCUUAACACAUGCAAGUCGAACGGUGACGGCAGAGCUUGCUCUGCCUGAUCAGUGGCGAACGGGUGAGUAACACGGGAGUAAGCUGCCCCGCACGUCGGGAUAACCGCGGGAAAACGUUGCUAAUACCGGCGAUGAAAGCUGACUGGAGGGUGGGGGCUGGGAAUAUUAAUCGGUGGGGGAUGGACUCGCGGGCUAUCAGCUUGUGGGGGAGGUAACGGCCCACCAAGGCGACGACGGGUAGCCGGCCUGAGAGGGCGACCGGCCACACUGGGACUGAGAUACGGACCAGACUCCUACGGGAGGCAGCAGUGGGGAAUAUUGCACAAUGGGCGAAAGCCUGAUGCAGAGACGCCGCGUGAGGGAUGAAGGCCUUCGGGUUGUAAACCUCUUUCAGCAGGGAAGAAGCGAAAGUGACGGUACCUGCAGAAGAAGCGCCGGCUAACUACGUG